This is a long non-coding RNA of Polypterus senegalus (gray bichir), 911 nucleotides long. RefSeq lists it as uncharacterized. The transcript has 4 exons. NCBI's taxonomy places the organism in Eukaryota, Metazoa, Chordata, Cladistia, Polypteriformes, Polypteridae. The record is from RefSeq and is a predicted model, not a curated record.
GUCAUGUCUUUAAGGUUAUGCAGGGCUCAUUCACUCCAAUUCUGUAGGGUUAUCUGCCCUCAGUGCUGCCCAGUCAGAUGAUCAGCCUCACAUCUCACUGUCAUCUCAACAACACCACAUUGUUGUGCUUCGCUCAAGUCCAGUAUGUCACACGACAUCAUGGCUAAUUCAGGAAAGCUCGACUACAUUCCAGUGGACAAACAAUAUUGACAGUUUGAUUUACCUCCAGAAAGCAUGCCAUCGUCAUUCAGGAUACUGACAGAGGCCUCACCUCACCACACCAUCACAGAAUUACAUGAUGUCCCCCACAGAGCCUGGUGAACAUGAGCCGACCCAAGUAGGAGGUGGCUGUGUGACAGGUCUUUAUCCAUUUCCUGCUGGUUACUAUUGUACUGCAGUGUGAGAUGUCUUGAACGGCACAAAGAAGUUAAACUCUCCAGCCAGUUUUACCUGACUUGGCACCCCUUUUCUGCAGCACCAUCCUUCUUCCUGAGCUCUAAAGUGUUUGUACCCAGUUAAAGCUGACUGCUGCCAUCGGUGUCAAGAAAAUGGAUGACCCAGGACCAUAACCAAAAGCUCAGCUUAUGAUCCGAUUAGGAUCAGAAAUGAACUGGAGGUAUUUGAAGAAAUCAAAAGACCAUGAAUGAUUUAAAAAUUAAGUAUUUGACAAACUCCUUUUUGAGUGAACUUUUGAAGCCAGAUAUUUUUUAAAGAUAAUAGUAUGCCCAACAAAUCACAUAUAUGUAAGCAAUAUUGAAUUACAAAUAAAGAAAUAAUAAUUAUGUAAAGAAAUGUACAUCUCAAUUAAAUAUGGUCUUGGGCACAUGUGGCAAAAUGCUAUAUAGCUUGAAUGCUUUCAAAAAUACCGCCAUUCGUGUUUUUUAUUAAUCAGUAAACUUCCAAGAAAGUGC